UCCCUGGUGAUCUAGUGGUUAGGAUUCGGCGCUCUCACCGCUGCGGCCCGGGGUUCGAUUCCCAGUCAGGAGA
Transfer RNA from Ophiophagus hannah (king cobra), 73 nucleotides. It matches the Rfam family "tRNA". From Rfam's summary of the family: Transfer RNA (tRNA) molecules are approximately 80 nucleotides in length. Their secondary structure includes four short double-helical elements and three loops (D, anti-codon, and T loops). Further hydrogen bonds mediate the characteristic L-shaped molecular structure. tRNAs have two regions of fundamental functional importance: the anti-codon, which is responsible for specific mRNA codon recognition, and the 3' end, to which the tRNAs corresponding amino acid is attached (by aminoacyl-tRNA synthetases). tRNAs cope with the degeneracy of the genetic code in two manners: having more than one tRNA (with a specific anti-codon) for a particular amino acid; and 'wobble' base-pairing, i.e. permitting non-standard base-pairing at the 3rd anti-codon position. The record is from Rfam. Lineage: Eukaryota; Metazoa; Chordata; Lepidosauria; Squamata; Elapidae.